GUCCACGCCGUAACGAUGAAUGCCAGUCGUCGGUAGCAUGCUAUUCGGUGACACACCUAACGGAUUAAGCAUUCCGCCUGGGAGUACGGCCACAAGGUUAACUCAAAGGAAUUGACGGGCCCGCACAAGCGGUGGAGCAUGUGGUUAAUUCGAAGCAACGCGCAGAACCUUACCAACCCUUGACAUGGGUAUCGCGGCUCUGGAGACAGAGCCUUCAGUUCGGCUGGAUACCACACAGGUGCUGCAUGGCUGUCGU
This 256-nucleotide ribosomal RNA is filed under the name uncultured bacterium. Its description in RNAcentral is "partial 16S ribosomal RNA". It matches the Rfam family "Bacterial small subunit ribosomal RNA", at positions 793 to 1055 of the family's 1533-position model. The record is from RNAcentral.